RNAcentral lists this ribosomal RNA (243 nucleotides) under uncultured Actinomycetales bacterium. RNAcentral describes it as "partial 16S ribosomal RNA". It matches the Rfam family "Bacterial small subunit ribosomal RNA", at positions 88 to 334 of the family's 1533-position model. Lineage: Bacteria; Bacillati; Actinomycetota; Actinomycetes; Actinomycetales. The record is from RNAcentral.
UACUCGAGUGGCGAACGGGUGAGUAACACGUGGGUGAUCUGCCCUGCACUUCGGGAUAAGCCUGGGAAACUGGGUCUAAUACCGGAUAGGAGCCAUUUUUAGUGUGAUGGUUGGAAAGUUUUUUUGGUGUAGGAUGAGCUCGCGGCCUAUCAGCUUGUUGGUGGGGUAAUGGCCUACCAAGGCGGCGACGGGUAGCCGGCCUUAGAGGGUGGACGGCCACAUUGGGACUGAGAUACGGCCCAG